This 460-nucleotide ribosomal RNA is filed under the name uncultured bacterium. RNAcentral's name for it is "partial 16S ribosomal RNA". It matches the Rfam family "Bacterial small subunit ribosomal RNA", at positions 338 to 795 of the family's 1533-position model. The record is from RNAcentral.
CCUACGGGAGGCAGCAGUGGGGAAUAUUGGUCAAUGGACGAAAGUCUGAACCAGCCAAGUAGCGUGAAGGAUGACUGCCCUAUGGGUUGUAAACUUCUUUUAUGGAGGAAUAAAGCGAAGCGCGUAUGCCUUUUUGCAUGUACUUUAUGAAUAAGGAUCGGCUAACUCCGUGCCAGCAGCCGCGGGAAUACGGAGGAUCCGAGCGUUGUCCGGAUUUAUUGGGUUUAAAGGGAGCGUAGAUGGGUUGUUAAGUCAGUUGUGAAAGUUUGCGGCUCAACCGUAAAAUUGCAAUUGAUACUGGCAGUCUUGAGUACAGUUGAGGUAAGCGGAAUUCGUGGUGUAGCGGUGAAAUGCUUAGAUAUCACGAAGAACACCGAUGGCGAAGGCAGCUUACUAAACUGUGACUGACAUUGAUGCUCGAAAGUGUGGGUAGCAAACAGGAUUAGAUACCCGAGUAGUC